AGAGUUUGAUCCUGGCUCAGGAUGAACGCUGGCGGCGUGCUUAACACAUGCAAGUCGAACGAUGAAGCCCAGCUUGCUGGGUGGAUUAGUGGCGAACGGGUGAGUAACACGUGAGCAACCUGCCCCUGACUCUGGGAUAAGCGCUGGAAACGGCGUCUAAUACUGGAUAUGUCCCGUCACCGCAUGGUGUGCGGGUGGAAAGAUUUUUCGGUUGGGGAUGGGCUCGCGGCCUAUCAGCUUGUUGGUGAGGUAAUGGCUCACCAAGGCGUCGACGGGUAGCCGGCCUGAGAGGGUGACCGGCCACACUGGGACUGAGACACGGCCCAGACUCCUACGGGAGGCAGCAGUGGGGAAUAUUGCACAAUGGGCGGAAGCCUGAUGCAGCAACGCCGCGUGAGGGAUGACGGCCUUCGGGUUGUAAACCUCUUUUAGCAGGGAAGAAGCGAGAGUGACGGUACCUGCAGAAAAAGCACCGGCUAACUACGUGCCAGCAGCCGCGGUAAUACGUAGGGUGCAAGCGUUAUCCGGAAUUAUUGGGCGUAAAGAGCUCGUAGGCGGUCUGUCGCGUCUGCUGUGAAAUCCCGAGGCUCAACCUCGGGCUUGCAGUGGGUACGGGCAGACUAGAGUGCGGUAGGGGAGAUUGGAAUUCCUGGUGUAGCGGUGGAAUGCGCAGAUAUCAGGAGGAACACCGAUGGCGAAGG
RNAcentral lists this ribosomal RNA (701 nucleotides) under Microbacterium sp. Ni9. RNAcentral describes it as "bacterial SSU rRNA". It matches the Rfam family "Bacterial small subunit ribosomal RNA", at positions 8 to 721 of the family's 1533-position model. The record is from RNAcentral. Lineage: Bacteria; Bacillati; Actinomycetota; Actinomycetes; Micrococcales; Microbacteriaceae.